This 5026-nucleotide long non-coding RNA is filed under the name Arabidopsis lyrata. Its description in RNAcentral is "long non-coding RNA (ALYR_LNC001149)". Lineage: Eukaryota; Viridiplantae; Streptophyta; Magnoliopsida; Brassicales; Brassicaceae. The record is from RNAcentral.
AGAAUAUUACAAAGAAUGCUAUUGGUAAUUUUUAAAUCAAAGAGUAAAUUAAAAAAAUUGGAUAAGGUUAAAGUGGACAAAUUGAUCGGAUACAUAACGUGGAUCUUGGGUUUGUUUUCGGAUAAAACGCGGACCCUAUCCAGCGUUAUACGGUCUGGGACGCGGAUCCUCGAUUUGACCCGUUUGGGUAACAAAUCAUUAAGAUUUUACUCCGAUAAUAUUCUCUUGUGCUGUUACACAAAAUAAUUUCGAAAAUCAUUAAGACAGUUGCCAAAACAAUCAACAGAAAAUCAACGCAAAAUAAUUGCCAAAUUAAAUCACCAAAUAUAAGGAACAUAACCAAUUUUGUAGGAACUGUUUUCAAUAAGAUCUAAUCUCAUUUAUUAUAUUUGCCUAAUUUCAAAAGUAUAAAAUAUUAUAUUCCUAUCAAAUGAAGCAUCUACAUAUACAUUUUUACAGGGGAUUUUUGCAAAAAGUCUUUUGGAUCCGGGUUUUACCCGGGUUUAACUCUAUUCGGAUCUAGAAUAAGAAAUUUAAGGAAGUUUGUAAUAAAAACGACAUUAAUUAUUAAUUAACACCUAAAUUAGAAAUAUAUAUAAUAUAUCUAAACUAACCAUAUUUGUUAUUUACCUUAACUACUUCUAACCAUAAUUAUUUAACUAUUUAUUUCUAUAUGGAAAGAAUAUGUGAUUAAAAUAAAUAUUUUGUAAAAGAUUGAUUUGGGGAAAAAUUGUUAUUACGAAAAUAAUUUGUUUUGUUAUAAAAAUUAAUAUUUGUUAUUUGUAAUUAAAUUACAUAAAUAGUAAUAAUAAUUUGUCUACACCAUCAAAUGAAAAUAGUUAGUUAUUUAUUUUUUUAUUUAAUAUUACGUCAUUUUUAAAAAAUAAAUUCAACAAUAUAAUGUCAAUGAGUUUAAUUCUAAAGAUUUGAAAAUAUUAAAAAGAUACUAACCAAACAUUAUCUAUCCUAAUUUGUUUCUAACAAUUUCGACACAAAUCUUUCGAAAAUUUAAUGUGAUCACAGUUUGUUACUAAAAUCUCGAUUAUAUGCCUAAAAUCUCGAGAAGAUCUUCCUUUAAAUCCGCAAAUUAUAAUUUUUGAAUUAAAUAAACUAACAAUACGAAUAUUCCUAAUAUAUUCGAGUACUAAUAAUCCUUAUUAUAGUAUAUUCCUUAUCUAAAUACUAAAUCUUUUAUUUUUAAUUCUAAUCAAAAUUUAUGAAAUCGGAAAUCAAUUAUGAUUUCUUAAACAUCCUUAAAUUUCGAAAUAAUCAACAAUUCGAAUAUGCUGAAAAAUCAUAACGAAAUAUCUUUAUUUACUUAAAUGUUUUAGUAAUCGUUAUAGCAAAAAAAUCAAUUCCAGCGCUAUUGGUUCUUUAAACUUUUUGAUUUACAUAGAUAUUUUGUAUUCCAUAAUUAACUCAUUAAAUUCUUUGAUUUAAAUAACUACAAUGUGAAAAUUAGUAUAUGUAAUAAAUAUAACAUAUAAUAUUUACGAGAUUUUCAUAUACUUGAUCCCCAACCCAAAUUGACGAAUAUAUUAUUUCUCAUAAAAUAUCUUUAAAAGAUUUUUUUUUGUUUCGUUUAGAUAUUAUUCAACAAACUUCCUAAAACAAAUGGAAAUAUCUUUAAUUAGCUUUCCUCAUUCAUAAAUCCCACCAUGCAUAUAGACGUUAUUCAGUUGAUAAUACAAAAUUGAAUAUAUUAGGAAUCAAAUAUUUAAUUUUCCAAUAUUUGCAAAAUUGUUUUAAUUUUUAGAUCAAACCUAAACUUCUCGAGUACUUUUUAUUCAUCUAUAUAAAAAAGAUAUUUUCAACCAUUGAUCCACAAUACUAAACGUUUUCGUAAUAGAGAUUUAUAUGGCUUCUUUUAAACAAUGUUCUUAGUACAUUUUAUAUUUCACGUUUGUUUUCUUUUAAAAAAUUAAUUGUCACCUACUUUUCUUAUGUUGCAGCUUUCGAUUUUAAGAUCUUUGGAAAUUAUGGACAUCAUCAACUCCGUCUCCAAAGAAACUAUCAAAUAAGGUAUGCAUUAAAAGGUUAGUUAGUCCUUCUUCUUAUCUUCAGAUACGAAUUUUUUUUAAUGUCCAGUAUUUUUUUACAUUUUCAUAAUUUCAUGUUUCUUCAUAAUGUUUGUAAAUGAUUUUUUUUUAUAGGCUAACAUAACAAGUCCAUUCUAUUAAAAUCUUUUUCUUUAACGUAAAAAGGAAAUGAAUUUGUUAAUAAAAUAAAGUUCUUAUUCUUAAUUUUCAUUAUUCUAAUGUUAUGUAUUUUAAUUGUUUUUAUGAUAUAUACUUUUACUAAAACCUGUGGAUCCGAGUUUUGGUUGGUAAGUGUAAUUUUUCUAAUCUUUUAAAACCUUUUACAACAAUUACAUGUUUUAUAUGGUUAACAAUCACAUCAUAUAUAUUUUAUUUUCUUAUCCAAUGUAUUUCAUGUUUAAUGUUUUCUAAUAUUUUUUAUUGAAACUUUUAAAUAGUUUCAAAAUAUUAUAAACAUUUAAACUUUAUUAAAAGUAAAAUAUUAUAAUUAUUUAAACAUUUAAAAAAGUUUAUUUUUAUAAAACGUUUUAAAUAUUUAUAAUAUUAUGAAUUUUAUAAAGUUUCAAAUAUUAAAUAGUUGAAUUUUAUAAUAAUUUAUAAGAAAUUUAAACAUUAUAAAUAUUUACAAAAGAUAAUAAUCGGGACGGUAUAUUACGGGUGAAAUCCUAGAUAUAACAAUCAAAAUACUAUUAUGAAUUUUGGGUCGAUAUUAAAUGAAGUUUCGAAUAUUAGAAAUAUUUGAAUUUUAUUGGAAAAUGACAAAAUGAUGUAGAUUUCACGGGACAGAGUUAUAUGGUCGGACGGAUUUGGGGUGGAUAUUAAUACAGUAUGAUAUACUACAGGUGAAAUCCUAUAAUUAACAAUCAAAAUAUAACAAUACAAUCUUAAACACUAAACAAAACUAAACAAAUAAUAUUAACAAAACAAAUAAAACUUCAAAUUUUAAAUCUUUAGUUAUAAAAUAUCGUGUGUACCAUACAUUUAAAUCAAACAAAACAAUAGCAUAUAUCUAUAGAUCAUCUUAAAAAAAAAUUAAUUUUAUUAUUAUUUAAUAAAAUUAUAGACCCGCGGUGUACCGCGGGUUAAUAUCUAGUAUUCUAUUAAUGAUUCUAUUAAAUACGGUUACGCAAAUAUAUUUUCAUAUUUACAAAAGUAAACCCUAAAAAUGAGAGUUGUAUCUGUAAUAGUAUAUAUAGUAAACUCGAUAAUCAACUUUCAUAACACAAUCCUUCAAAUCUUAACUUCAUUAAUUUCUUCUUUUUUUUGGUCAAAAAAAUGGCUGCAAAUCUUCCUAUCACGGAACUUGCUAACGUGAAACCUUUUCAAAACAAUCGUUCACUCAUAGACUCAACACACUCAAUUCACACGAGAGACAAUGAAAAUGAUUCUUGCUACUGUUUCUGUAAGUAUUUUUAACUUUCUAACUUCAAACCUUUCAUAUUUAAAAAGGAUUAUUGUUUUGCUUACUACAAUUGUGAAUUUUGUAGGCUACUUUGAUUCAUGCUACUAUAAAUAAACAACAGAUGAACAAGCUGCAAAGGUUUAUCAACUCUGGAGAGUGGAGAUUUAUUAAAAAUUUACUCUCUCAAAAUCUAUGGGAAAGUACAGAGCUACCAAACAUGGUUGCAAAAUGUCCCUCAUGAACACUACUAUUAUCACUCGGUGUUCUUCUCUUUCAGAUGAUGUUUUCUUCGAUUUGCAAACUAUCAAGAUAUUUUGAAUGAAUCACGAUUGAAUGCGAAUAUCUUUAUAGGUUUUUUUAUGUUUAGUUAUAGCUUUAUCUUGCAUAUAAUUUUUUUUCCUUAUAUCUUUAUCUUGCAGGAUCUUCAUCGUUGUUAUGAUAUACUACUUUUGAUUAAACAUACAAAGACUAAUAUGAAUAAACAACAGUAUAAAAGUCACAUGAGGCACUAACCUUUUACAUAUAUAUUUCUGGAUAUCUCCAAUGAGGCAAUGACUAUAUAACUCUUCCCUUCUCCAUAUUUUUAUGUUAAUAGAAUCGAAUGCUUCACAUUAGAACAUUGAAUAUUGUUAUUAACAUGUUAAACUUUUUAAAGUAACUCAAUAACAGUAAGUAAAGCUGCAAAUCUGAGAAACAAAAGCGUAAGAAUUGAGAUUUCACCAACCUUUUACAUAUAUAUUUUCUUAUAGCUACACUGACAAAAUCAUAGAGCUUCUCCCAUAGUCUCAUUGUCUGUAUCGCAAAUCAUCCUUCACAUUAAAUCGUUAAUACACAGGCAAGGAUGAUUUUGUUUUAAAAUACAAGAUCAAAACAAUGUGCCAUAUAUAAAGUAACGUAUCUUAAGCUCAAUAAAACCAGGGAACUCUGCAAACAUAAUCAACAAAAUUUUAAAAAUUAAGAAUCUUACUAACCUUUGACACAUAUAUUUAUGAAUAGCUAUAAUGACAAUAUCCCAUUGUCUCCUCCAUUGUCUGAAAUUACUUGCUAAUCAUCCUUCACUAGAAUACACAACCAAAAAAAAUUAAAAAUUCAAAACACAGUAUACACAAAAUAUACUCAAUUUAUUGCUUUCAAACUAUAAAAAGCUACGGAUACUCGAGAUUAACUGUAUACAGAGCUACUCUAUACAACAAUUCAAAACCACUGUAAAUCAAAUUCGUAUACAAACCUUAAAAAAAAUCUAUCAAAAACUAAUUUUAAAUCAGCCUUAAGAGAUCCGGCUUCUUGUAAAUCCUUGGCGAUUCUAUACUAUUAAAACAAAAAAUUUCAAAGAUUGGAAAUUGAAUCUGACAUAUACAAAAGCUGUACAAGUAUAAAUUUGAUUUAAUAAAUAGAUUACCUCUUCGUAGAAUUCACGAAUUGAAACCCACCAGAGGUAUAAUAGGAGACGAUGAUGUUCCUAUGAGAUUAUCGUAUUUGAUUCUGGAGAUCGAUCGAUGGUCUUCGUUAUUUUCACUAAAAUUCCUUUUCUCUUUUUUUGGUAAUAAGACAACAAAUUGUUCACAGCAAAUAUCUGUCCAAAUAC